Molecule: ribosomal RNA, 327 nt
Filed under: Salmonella enterica subsp. enterica serovar Newport
Lineage: Bacteria; Pseudomonadati; Pseudomonadota; Gammaproteobacteria; Enterobacterales; Enterobacteriaceae
Also listed under: 1 other name
Description: partial 23S ribosomal RNA
Rfam family: Bacterial large subunit ribosomal RNA
Source: RNAcentral
UGUUUCGGCUAGGGGGCCAUCCCGGCUUACCAACCCGAUGCAAACUGCGAAUACCGGAGAAUGUUAUCACGGGAGACACACGGCGGGUGCUAACGUCCGUCGUGAAGAGGGAAACAACCCAGACCGCCAGCUAAGGUCCCAAAGUCAUGGUUAAGUGGGAAACGAUGUGGGAAGGCCCAGACAGCCAGGAUGUUGGCUUAGAAGCAGCCAUCAUUUAAAGAAAGCGUAAUAGCUCACUGGUCGAGUCGGCCUGCGCGGAAGAUGUAACGGGGCUAAACCAUGCACCGAAGCUGCGGCAGCGAACGUAUCACUUAAAGCGAUUCAGCG